UAGGGAGACCUAAUCCAUUUAGAAAUCGAAAGCAGUGAAAAUUGUGGGUAGAAACUAAAUUGGUCUAACCUAGGUCGGUCGCAGACUUGAAGUAAAGCUUUCAAACUAUGAUUUGGUUCGAUAAGGGCUAUUAGCUCAGGUGGUUAGAGCGCACCCCUGAUAAGGGUGAGGUCCCUGGUUCGAGUCCAGGAUGGCCCACCUGAAGGAAGUCAAAAAUCAAAAGUCAAAAGUCAAAAUUAAAUAUUUUUGAAGCAUGACUAGAAAUUUUGAGUUCUUUUUGGGGGUUUAGCUCAGUUGGUAGAGCGCCUGCUUUGCAAGCAGGAUGUCAGCGGUUCGAGUCCGCUAACCUCCACAUUGGAAAAAAAACAGCACCUAACUAUAAAAGUUAGACUGCUGGGUGAAAUUCCAGCCAGAACCUUGAAAACUGCAUAAGAGAACGAGAAAAAGCAGGCAGACACAGACAUUUGAAUGGAUGUGAAAGCAAAGAAAAAUUGUGGUCAAGCUAAUAAGGGC
Molecule: transfer RNA, 513 nt
Filed under: Dolichospermum circinale NRERC-107
Lineage: Bacteria; Bacillati; Cyanobacteriota; Cyanophyceae; Nostocales; Aphanizomenonaceae
Description: partial 16S-23S ribosomal RNA intergenic spacer
Rfam family: tRNA (bases 280-352)
Source: RNAcentral